GAACACACGAGGCUCCUCCCUGAGCUGGAGUGGAAUAUGGUAUUUGCUAGACCGACCGAGCUCCUCCGAGGGCGAUUACCUCCUGGGACUUUUCAAAAAUGCCUCAUCCCAAGGAACGCCCCAAGGGUCUAGAACUGCCCAUCCCAGGUCAACUGGGAAGAAGGAAAGACAAGAAAAGAACGUACAACCUGCAAAUAAUAGUAAGGGAGUAAGUGGAAAUAUGAAAUAAAUACUGAUGCGCCUGCCCCAUCUGGUCACACAGUGCUUUGAAGAAAGGCCCUUCCUUUGGGGAAAAUGACAAAGAAUUCGGCCUUCAUCAUCAAUGCUGGAGAAUAAGACAGACCUGUUCACUUCCCCUUCGGCAUGUGACGUUUGGAACACAGAUUUACGUGAGGAGCAGGAAAAGAUCAUCUCGGGCUCCUGCUGCUGCUGUCCAGCCUCCCUGGCUCUGUGCGAAGAGUGUCCUCCCAAGGCACCUGGACGUCCCACCUUUGAGAGAGAUUUGCACACACCGUGACCCACGAGCAGGUCCUUGGGGCCAGAAGGAGCCUCCACUGUCAGCACAAGAGCAUCACCGCCAAGUCAGACAGCUUCUUGGAAAAUAAAAAGUGAAGUCGCAGAACAAAACAAAAACUCUCUCUUCAAACUGCUGUCUCUCCCUGCCGUGUGAGGACAACAGUGGAAAAGCAGCCAUCUGCAAGCCAAGAAGAAAGCUCCAACCAGAACCCAGGCAUGCUGGCACCCACAUCUCAGAUGUUUAUCUUCCAGAACUGUAAGAAAAUAACAUAUCUGUUGUUUAAGCCACCUAGUCUAUGGUAUUUUGUUCUGGCAGCCAGAGCUAGCUAGGACAGGACUAAGUGGUCCUCUGAGCCAACCUUCUUAUUUUACACAGAUCCAAAGGGACACAGAGCAGACCAGGAUCAAAACCCAGCCCAUUCUCUAACCCACAGCCCACAGCUCUAGCCAAUGAAACAAGCUUGCCAAAUAGUGCAGAAUGAAAGAACAGGCAGAAAGCAAAAGUAUAUUUUUCUUAAACAUUUCGAUACCUUUAAACUCUUUUUUAGACUAGCUUUGAAAUAACAUUUAACUGAAGGUCCAAGGGGACCUCCAGAAAGGUGUGAAGUUGAGAAUUUGGCUUACAAGGCUUCCAAAGAUGAGAAAGGGAGAGGCCUACCUUUUGGUUAUAAUGAAAUUGUAAUUACAGCGUUGUGAGUUAUGCAAAGGAGAGCAGACAACAGGAUUCACAACCCCAUGAAAUUUCUUGUAUCUGUAUGCAAAACUGAAUGAACUAAAACAUGUCAGAGCUUCUCUUUAAAAUCCUCUGUUGCAAGCACUACAUUACAUGAGAAUGGUAUUUUACACCUCACAGUGCGCUUCUACAUAACAUAGUCUCAGGGAACCCAUGCAACAGCCAGCAGAGGAAUUUAGCAUCCAUAAGUGAUCAAGCAAAGUCACACAGCUGCUGAGAGCUAGAACUGACACUUGAAUACUGUGUGUGCAUGUGAGAGAGAGAGAGAAUGACUUGGGGUGGGGUUGAUCCCACUUCACUAUAUGCUCUAGAGCUGCCUCCAAGAAGUGUCGUAAACAUUCAGACUAAACUACCAGUAAAAGGCCCGGUUUUAGUUCUGCCAUCAAUUCAUGGUCAGCUUGGGCCAGUCACUUAGCCUCUAGUUCUCUGUUUCUUCAACUAUGAAAAAAGUGUGUUAAAUAGUUUUGUCUUUGAUUCUCUUUCCAUUCAAUCUGUGAUUUUCACAAUUAAUCGCAAUUAGAUACAGAAAAUCAAGCCAUGUUCUGAGGGAAGGACAUUGAAAGCAAAGAUCUCAGGAAUAUUCAGCAGUGUGCCUUUCUCCAGAGGUGGCCAUUUUGGGAAAAUCUGGCCACACCUGUCAGUCAGCUGCUGAGAAGCCCCAGGGCAAACAACAUCCAGGUGGGAUCACAGACCUGCCCCUCAGUAAACAGGCUGCCUAAAGACCCUCAGGCACACAGCUGCCACUAAUUCCAGCCAGAGACUAAGCCCCACCCACCAGAGGGAUUAGAAUCAGCUCCACCUACCAGUGGGCAGGCAUCAGCCCCUCCCAUCAGGAAGCCUACAGCAAGCCCCCCAUACCGACUUCAGCCACAAGGGGCAGACACCAGAAGUAAGAGAGGCUACAACUCUACUAUCUGUAAAAAGGUCACCACACCAAAAAACCUAUAAAAAUGAAAAGACAGAGAACUAUAACUCAGAUGAGGGAGAAAGGAAAAACCCCAGAAAAACAGCUAAGCCAUUAGGAGAUUCUCAGCCUCCAGGAAAAAGAUUUUAGAUUGUUGAUGCUAAAGAUGAUGCAAGACAUUGGAAACAAACUGGAGGCAAAGAUGGAUAACUUACAGGAAACACUAACUAAAGAGAUACAAGAUAUCAAACUGAAACAAGAAGAGAUGCAAAAUACAAUAACUGAAAUAAAAAAUUCACUAGAAGCAGCUAACAGCAGAAUACAGGAGGCAGAAGAACGAAUAAGCGAGGUGGAGGACAGAUUAGUGGAAAUUAUGGAUGCAG
This 2536-nucleotide long non-coding RNA is filed under the name Sus scrofa (pig). RNAcentral's name for it is "lncRNA (ENSSSCG00000061302.1)". The record is from RNAcentral. Lineage: Eukaryota; Metazoa; Chordata; Mammalia; Artiodactyla; Suidae.